AAGUAUGCAUUUUUAGUGAUGUGGCAGAAAGAUGCAUUAAAAACGCUUCCAGACGAACUUUUAAUGCAUCUUUCUGCCACAUUAUUGAUAAUGUGCCUUG
This 100-nucleotide microRNA precursor is filed under the name Gossypium raimondii (Peruvian cotton). RNAcentral's name for it is "miR8786a stem-loop (gra-MIR8786a)". The record is from miRBase by way of RNAcentral. Lineage: Eukaryota; Viridiplantae; Streptophyta; Magnoliopsida; Malvales; Malvaceae.